This 1731-nucleotide ribosomal RNA is filed under the name Triticum aestivum (bread wheat). RNAcentral's name for it is "partial small subunit ribosomal RNA". The record is from RNAcentral. Lineage: Eukaryota; Viridiplantae; Streptophyta; Magnoliopsida; Poales; Poaceae.
AUGAAAGAUAUGCAUAGCAUUGCUAGAUUUUCUUCUGAGAUAAUUCCUGAAUCUAGUACAACUGAUGAAUAUUUCGAACAAUCACAUGAGGAAGUCCUUGAGAAGGAUAACAAUGAAGUUCCUAGAAGGAACAAGAGACAAAGGAUUGCAAAAUCCUUUGGUGAUGAUUUCAUUGUAUACCUUGUGGACGACACACCCAAGACGAUUGCAGAAGCAUAUGCAUCUCCGGAUGUAGAUGAUUGGAAAGAAGCUGUUCAUAAUGAGAUGGACUCAAUUCUUUCUAAUGGAACUUGGGAACUAACUGAUAGACCAUAUGGUUGUAAACCUGUGGGCUGUAAGUGGGUGUUCAAAAAGAAGCUAAAGCCUGAUGGUACUAUUGAUAAGUACAAGGCGCAGCUAGUGGCCAAGGGCUACACUCAGAAAGAAGGCGAAGAUUACUUUGACACCUAUUCACCCGUUGCUAGAAUGACCACCAUUCGAGUGUUACUUUCCUUGGCUGCCUCUUAUGGUCUUAUCAUUCAUCAAAUGGAUGUAAAGACAGCUUUUCUCGAUGGAGAGUUGGAAGAGGAGAUCUAUAUGGAUCAGCCUGACGGGUUUGUGGUAAAGGGUGAAGAGAGAAAGGUGUGCAAGUUGUUAAAAUCUUUGUAUGGUCUGAAACAGGCACCUAAGCAAUGGCAUGAGAAGUUUGAAAGAACUUUGACUUCUGCAGGAUUUGUCAUUAACGAGGCUGAUAGGUGUGUUUACUAUCGCCAUGGUGGGGGCAAUAGUGUCAUAUUAUGUUUGUAUGUGGACGACAUACUGAUCUUUGGUACAAACAUUAAUGCAAUUAAUGAGGUCAAGUCUUUUCUAUCAAAAAGUUUUGACAUGAAAGAUCUGGGAGAAGCCGAUGUAAUUCUAAACAUCAAACUUAUUAAGGAUGAGAGUGGGAUUACAUUAACGCAAUCUCACUAUGUUGAGAAGGUCUUGAACCGAUUCGGUUUUAUGGAUAGCAAGCCUUCUCCAACACCUUAUGAUCCCAGCGUGACACUCAGAAAGAACAAGAAAGAAACGAGAGAUCAAUUAAGAUACUCUCAAAUUGUCGGUUCACUCAUGUACUUAGCUAGCGCUACAAGACCAGAUAUCUCUUUUGUUGUGAGCAAACUGAGUAGGUUCAUGUCCAACCCGGGUGAUGAUCAUUGGCAUGCACUAGAAAGGGUCUUGCGCUAUCUGAGAGGUACUAUGAGUUACGGAAUUACUUAUUCAGGGCAUCCUGCUGUGCUAGAAGGAUAUAGUGAUUCAAAUUGGAUCUCCGAUGUUGAUGUACUUUACGCAACAAGUGGGUAUGUAUUUACUCAUGGUGGUGGCGCAGUGUCAUGGAGGUCUUGCAAGCAAACCAUAUUGACGAGGUCAACUAUGGAAGCAGAAUUAACUGCUUUGGACACAGCUAUUGUUGAGGCAGAAUGGCUGCGUGAGCUCUUGAUGGACUUGUCGGUUGUUGAAAAACCUGUACCGGCUAUUCUUAUGAAUUGUGAUAACCAAAUGGUUAUCGCUAAAGUGAACAAUUCUAAAGAUAAUGCAAACUCAUCAAGACACGUGAAAAGACGUUUGAAGUCUGUCAGGAAGUUGAGAAACUCCGGAGUAAUAACUGUUACGUAUAUACAAACAGACAAAAACCUGGCAGAUCCCUUUACAAAGGGACUAUCACGAAAUGUGAUAGAUAUUGCAUCGAGGGAGAUGGGUAUGAGACCCAUA